Molecule: transfer RNA, 69 nt
Filed under: Polyonymus caroli
Lineage: Eukaryota; Metazoa; Chordata; Aves; Apodiformes; Trochilidae
Description: tRNA-His
Rfam family: tRNA
About the family: Transfer RNA (tRNA) molecules are approximately 80 nucleotides in length. Their secondary structure includes four short double-helical elements and three loops (D, anti-codon, and T loops). Further hydrogen bonds mediate the characteristic L-shaped molecular structure. tRNAs have two regions of fundamental functional importance: the anti-codon, which is responsible for specific mRNA codon recognition, and the 3' end, to which the tRNAs corresponding amino acid is attached (by aminoacyl-tRNA synthetases). tRNAs cope with the degeneracy of the genetic code in two manners: having more than one tRNA (with a specific anti-codon) for a particular amino acid; and 'wobble' base-pairing, i.e. permitting non-standard base-pairing at the 3rd anti-codon position.
Source: RNAcentral
GCAAGUAUAGUUUAAUCAAAACAUUAGUCUGUGAUCCUAAAAACAGAAGUUAGACCCUUCUUACCUGCC